RNAcentral lists this ribosomal RNA (573 nucleotides) under Triticum aestivum (bread wheat). RNAcentral describes it as "partial small subunit ribosomal RNA". Lineage: Eukaryota; Viridiplantae; Streptophyta; Magnoliopsida; Poales; Poaceae. The record is from RNAcentral.
AUGACUACACAAAAAAUGGUACUGUCCAAUAAUAGAUUGAUAUGUAUGGUGCAAAAGUUUCCAAGAAAUGCUGAAUACAUGGACUUAGCAGGAAACUCUUUCUCCGGGACAUUGCCAUUAGAUUUUGGAGCCCCUUUAUUGGAGGAGCUUAUUCUUUAUAACAAUUCAAUAUCAGGCACCAUUCCAUCUUCAAUAUGCAAAUUGUCACAGUUGGUUGUGCUAGACCUAUCAAAAAACAAGCUUACAGGAGAAGUUCCAACUUGUGAAGAGGAUUCUAACUCGCAGAUGAGUAGUCUUCAUGUGGUAAAUUUAAAUACCAGCAACCUCUCAGGACAGUUCCCAAAAGUUCUUAGAAACUGCCAACACCUUGUUUUUAUUGAUCUAUCUUAUAACAAAUUCUCUGGAGACAUACCUACAUGGAUGGCUGUGAAUUUUCCGUACUUGGCACUCCUACGUCCACGGUACAAUAUGUUUUCUAGGGAAAUUCCCAUGGAAUUGGAAUGCUUCAAGGGCUGCAGUUUUACAUCUUGCACACAACAACUUCUCACGAAGCAUGCCAGACUCAUUAGUUAA